UGUAAGCGUAUACCAAAGUUGUUGCAGUUAAAACGCUCGUAGUCGGAAUUUGGCAGUUCCGGAUGUGUGCACGUCGUGUGCGCACUUCGCGGGGAUUGCUUUUGUGGUCUUGCGUAGGAUGAGGCACUUUUAUUAGUGAACGUCCUCACGCAACCACUUUUUACUGUGAGAAAAUCAGAGUGCUCAAAGCAGGCAUUUGCCGUGAAUGUAUUAGCAUGGAAUAAUAGAAUAGGACUUGGUUCUAUUUUGUUGGUUUGUUGGGACUGAGUAAUGAUUAAGAGGGACAGUUGGGGGCAUUUGUAUUUCGGUGCUAGAGGUGAGAUUCUUAGAUUGCCGAAAGACAAACUGCUGCGAAAGCGUCUGCCAAGGAUGUUUUCAUUGA
This 382-nucleotide ribosomal RNA is filed under the name uncultured eukaryote. Its description in RNAcentral is "partial 18S ribosomal RNA". It matches the Rfam family "Eukaryotic small subunit ribosomal RNA", at positions 592 to 976 of the family's 1831-position model. The record is from RNAcentral.